This 306-nucleotide signal recognition particle RNA is filed under the name Aotus nancymaae (Ma's night monkey). RNAcentral describes it as "Metazoan signal recognition particle RNA (ENSANAG00000006491.1)". It matches the Rfam family "Metazoan signal recognition particle RNA". Rfam says of the family: The signal recognition particle (SRP) is a universally conserved ribonucleoprotein. The record is from RNAcentral. Lineage: Eukaryota; Metazoa; Chordata; Mammalia; Primates; Aotidae.
CGGGUGGAAUGGUGCAUGCCUGUAGUCCCAGCUACCUAAGAGACUGAGGCAGGAGGAUUUCUUGAGCCCAGGAGUUCUAGGCUGUAGUGCGUUAUGCUGAUCUGGUGGCAAUACUAAGUUUGGUGUUAAUAUGGUGACCAUCCUGGAGGGGGGCCCACUAGGUUUCUAAGGAGGGGUGAACCAGGUCAGAUUGGAAACCUAGCAUAUGGUCAAAACUCCCAUACUGAACAGAAGUUUUCGGGAACAAUCCCAGGUUAAGGACUGCAGAUUCAUUUCCUAGGCCACAGAGUCAGGAUCCCCUGCUUU